This is a non-coding RNA of Plutella xylostella (diamondback moth), 772 nucleotides long. Lineage: Eukaryota; Metazoa; Arthropoda; Insecta; Lepidoptera; Plutellidae. The record is from RefSeq and is a predicted model, not a curated record.
GAACCCAUGGGCUUUUCAGCUAAUACAAAAUGUCACUCUUAUUUUUCAAGCUCUAAUUUUUUGUUUGUGGGCACAUCUAUAGAUGGCGCUGUAAUGAGAAUUAUAAUAAUGAUAAUUGAGUCCAAAUAAUAUCUGGCAACAUUAUUUUAGUAUUAUUUAUUUUUAAUACUGGUAAUUAUUAAAACUCCGGCAAUGGUACGUUUCUUUACAGUCAAAAUAUUACGUCAAAUUCAACUGCUAUAAUAGUUAUUAAAUAUUUUAGUAUCUAGUCAUUCGCGAAAAUUUAAUAAAAUAAAACAUUACAUAUAUAUUUAUAUUACUAAUACUGACAUCAAUAUGUUUAAAAAAUAUAGAAUUUGCAUACUACAAAAUAUUUCAGUGUGUAUAUGUCAUUCACGCAAUGUGUGCAUAAUACGGAACGUUAUUUGUUAUUACGGCCGCCAUAAUACAAAUAACUGUUUCGGAUUUUUGUGAUUUUAUCGACAACUCUAGCUUUUUGUGGACUCUGAUUUGCCUCCUCACCUUCUGACCUUUGCGAGUACUAUAAUUGACCUUGAUUUGCCUUUUGAUUUGGAUUUUGUACUAUGGCGUCGAAACAUAAGUGUUUUAUUCCUGGUUGUGACCAGAAUGAAAAACGUGAAACCACCAGUACCUUACAUAGGUUCCCCAAUCCUGAUAAGGAUGCUGGAAGAUUCAGAAAAUGGACCAAUGCUAUUGGUGGAAUGUUAUGUGUGGAGUAUUAUAAAAAAAGAAAUAAAUGUCGAAAACCUUA